AUGGCUUUCAUAAAGAACACAGUUGAGAACGCUAUUGUGGGCUCAAUUGCAGAGUGUACUUCCAUAGGGGAGUAUCUUGAAAAGAUAAAGAGCCAGUUCACUGGUUCUUCAAAGAUAUAUGCUACCCAGUUGCUAAGGCAACUGGUGACAGAAAAGUACACAGGCGGUGGACAUGGCAUACGAGAGCACAUCCUCAGGAUGAGCAACAUGGAAGCUAAGCUUAAACAAAUGGAUGAGGAUUUGGAGCUCAAGCCUGCACUCCUUGUUCACCUGGUCAUGGCUCCACUGCCAAAAGAGUUUGACACUUUUGUUGUCAACUACAACAUGUAG
RNAcentral lists this ribosomal RNA (330 nucleotides) under Triticum aestivum (bread wheat). RNAcentral describes it as "partial small subunit ribosomal RNA". The record is from RNAcentral. Lineage: Eukaryota; Viridiplantae; Streptophyta; Magnoliopsida; Poales; Poaceae.